Molecule: transfer RNA, 85 nt
Filed under: Felis catus (domestic cat)
Lineage: Eukaryota; Metazoa; Chordata; Mammalia; Carnivora; Felidae
Rfam family: tRNA
About the family: Transfer RNA (tRNA) molecules are approximately 80 nucleotides in length. Their secondary structure includes four short double-helical elements and three loops (D, anti-codon, and T loops).
Source: Rfam by way of RNAcentral
ACCUGAGUGGCUCAGUUGGUUAAGUAUCUGACUUCGGCUCAGGUCAUGAUCUCACAGUUCAUGAGUUCAAGCCCCACCUCAGGUU